AACAAGGGCAUGUCUUUUGUUUUGCGUUGUGUGAUAUUAUUAUUCAUUGUCUUCACUUCUGCAUCCAUUCCAGUCACCACCCAAGCUGCUUCAGAUUUGCUUUUUGUUUCUCUCUCACAUCACAACAGAUUACUAUACAUAUAUGAAGAUGAGGAAACUGGGUAAUUUGCCGAGCUCUCCUCCUGCACCCCGCGGUUCCCCUCCUGACGCUCCGGGUCAUGGCGACUAAUCGAUUUUAUAUUUUAUUUCUUUAUAUGAACUGAAAUAAAUCUGCCGUUACGUUAUUAUACAAGUCAUUCCUUCAUGUUUA
Molecule: long non-coding RNA, 310 nt
Organism: Prosopis cineraria
Lineage: Eukaryota; Viridiplantae; Streptophyta; Magnoliopsida; Fabales; Fabaceae
Exons: 2
Source: RefSeq, a predicted model, not a curated record